RNAcentral lists this ribosomal RNA (206 nucleotides) under uncultured bacterium. Its description in RNAcentral is "partial 16S ribosomal RNA". It matches the Rfam family "Bacterial small subunit ribosomal RNA", at positions 568 to 774 of the family's 1533-position model. The record is from RNAcentral.
AGCGCAGGCGGGAGGCCAAGUCCAUCCUAAAAGUUCGGGGCUCAACCCCGUGAGGGGAUGGAAACUGGUCUUCUUGAGUGCAGGAGAGGAAAGCGGAAUUCCUAGUGUAGCGGUGAAAUGCGUAGAUAUUAGGAGGAACACCAGUGGCGAAGGCGGCUUUCUGGACUGUAACUGACGCUGAGGCUCGAAAACGUGGGGAGCGAACG